CUACGGGCUGCUCCAGUGGGGAAUAUUGCACAAUGGGCGCAAGCCUGAUGCAGCCAUGCCGCGUGUAUGAAGAAGGCCUUCGGGUUGUAAAGUACUUUCAGCGGGGAGGAAGGGAGUAAAGUUAAUACCUUUGCUCAUUGACGUUACCCGCAGAAGAAGCACCGGCUAACUCCGUGCCAGCAGCCGCGGUAAUACGGAGGGUGCAAGCGUUAGUCGGAAUUACUGGGCGUAAAGCGCACGCAGGCGGUUUGUUAAGUCAGAUGUGAAAUCCCCGGGCUCAACCUGGGAACUGCAUCUGAUACUGGCAAGCUUGAGUCUCGUAGAGGGGGGUAGAAUUCCAGGUGUAGCGGUGAAAUGCGUAGAGAUCUGGAGGAAUACCGGUGGCGAAGGCGGCCCCCUGGACGAAGACUGACGCUCAGGUGCGAAAGCGUGGGGAGCAAACAGGAUUAGAUACCCCUGUAGUC
This 464-nucleotide ribosomal RNA is filed under the name uncultured bacterium. Its description in RNAcentral is "partial 16S ribosomal RNA". It matches the Rfam family "Bacterial small subunit ribosomal RNA", at positions 339 to 795 of the family's 1533-position model. The record is from RNAcentral.